Prevotella sp. CAG:520 is the source of this 399-nucleotide non-coding RNA. It matches the Rfam family "transfer-messenger RNA". From Rfam's summary of the family: Bacterial tmRNA, also known as 10Sa RNA or SsrA, is named for its dual tRNA and mRNA-like properties. The record is from Rfam. NCBI's taxonomy places the organism in Bacteria, Pseudomonadati, Bacteroidota, Bacteroidia, Bacteroidales, Prevotellaceae.
GGGGUUGACUGGAUUUGACAGCGGGAUGAAAUGGUAUGUAAGCAUGCGGAGCCUCGAUGGCUAGCUCCUUAAUCUGAGUGAUCAAAAAUUUAAUUGGCGAAAACAACUACGCUCUCGCUGCUUAAUCGAAGUAUAGUAGAUUAGCUUUAUUCCGCCACAAGGUUUGGCGGAACGAGACAUCGCUCCAAGGAUGUUGUUCCGAAUCUGAGGACAAAGCGGUGCAGGUAAAUCGGAAAUAGCCAGUGUGUGCCUCGCCGCACGGGUGAAGUUUUAGAGGAUAAGGGCGCAAUUGGUGGUCUGGGUCUUGUUGCGUCACGAAAACAGAAGGCCAGAAUAAGCAUGUAGAAAGCGUAUGGUUUCCCUGUUUGGACGUGGGUUCGAAUCCCACCAGCUCCACAA